CCACCCUAAAACAUUCUAAGACGGUUGUUCAUAACCGCCUUAAAAUUUGCGUUGUAAAAAUCAAUUCUCAGCUUUGAUAAUUACAAGUUUGCCACCGCGUCACUUUAUAAGGUGGUUCCGAAUAACCGACUUAGAAAUCGCGUCGUAAA
This 149-nucleotide microRNA precursor is filed under the name Glycine max (soybean). RNAcentral's name for it is "miR4405b stem-loop (gma-MIR4405b)". The record is from miRBase by way of RNAcentral. Lineage: Eukaryota; Viridiplantae; Streptophyta; Magnoliopsida; Fabales; Fabaceae.